GCCAACGGUCAUACCACAUGGAAUACACCGGCUCUCGUCCGAUCGCCGCAGUUAAGCCAUGUUGGGCCAUGCUAGUACUAUCGUGGGUGACCAGAUGGGAAUACAUGGUGCUGUUGGCC
Monosiga brevicollis MX1 is the source of this 119-nucleotide ribosomal RNA. Lineage: Eukaryota; Choanoflagellata; Craspedida; Salpingoecidae. The record is from Rfam.